AACUAUGUAAUAAACGCAACACUUUUGUUUUUGCCCCCAUUUUUCAUGAGCUAAACUCAAAGAUCUAAAACUUUUUCUAUGUACACAAAAGGCCUAUUUCUCUCAAAUUUGUGAACAAUAUUUGAGAGAAAUAGGCCUUUUGAGUAAAUAGAAAAAGUCUUAGAUCUUUGAGUUCAACUCAUGAAAAAUGGGGCAAAAACAAAAGUGUUGCAUUUAUAAUUUUGUU
Pelobates cultripes (western spadefoot toad) is the source of this 226-nucleotide non-coding RNA. NCBI's taxonomy places the organism in Eukaryota, Metazoa, Chordata, Amphibia, Anura, Pelobatidae. The record is from the annotation of a GenBank genome assembly.